Molecule: small RNA, 62 nt
Filed under: Klebsiella oxytoca OK-1
Lineage: Bacteria; Pseudomonadati; Pseudomonadota; Gammaproteobacteria; Enterobacterales; Enterobacteriaceae
Description: sRNA P26
Rfam family: Pseudomonas sRNA P26
About the family: P26 is conserved across many Gammaproteobacteria species and appears to be consistently located between the DNA directed RNA polymerase (beta subunit) and 50S ribosomal protein L7/L12 genes.
Source: RNAcentral
GGGCUUCCGGUUGCAGCCUGAGAAAUCAGGCUGAUGGCUGGUGACUUUUUAGUCACCAGCCU